GAUAUACAUUCAUACAGAAAACCAAGAAACUGUACCAAGACACUCGUACGCAACGAAAUAUCGCCAAGCUGAAUGAUGAACUCUACGAGGUCCACCAGAUAAUGACGCGGAAUGUGCAGGAAGUUCUAGGUGUUGGUGAAAAGCUGGACCAGGUGAGCGAGAUGUCGAGCCGGCUAACUUCUGAAUCUCGUGUAUAUGCUGAUAAGGCUAAAGAUUUGAACCGUCAGGCUUUGAUCAGGAAAUGGGCACCAGUAGCGAUCGUGUUGGGUGUCGUUUUCCUUCUUUUCUGGGUCAAGAACAAGCUCUGGUAAAGAAAGGAGGAACAUAUAAGGCUAUUUUCGUAAUCUAGCAGACUUCUCCGGUCCAUAUAUCAGACUGCCGGCGCAAAUCCUCUUUCUUUCAGAGUGAAACUUUGACACAUUUUGUACUUCUGUAGUUAUGCAAACUUUAUGAGACUGGGUCAUAGAAUCAUCCACCAAUACAUUUUGUAAACCUUGAUUAUCAUUUUAUCAGGUUCUUCAAAUCAAA
Long non-coding RNA from Brassica oleracea var. oleracea, 528 nucleotides. RefSeq lists it as uncharacterized. NCBI's taxonomy places the organism in Eukaryota, Viridiplantae, Streptophyta, Magnoliopsida, Brassicales, Brassicaceae. The record is from RefSeq and is a predicted model, not a curated record. The transcript has 3 exons.